Molecule: non-coding RNA, 93 nt
Organism: Acanthosepion pharaonis
Lineage: Eukaryota; Metazoa; Mollusca; Cephalopoda; Sepiida; Sepiidae
Source: the annotation of a GenBank genome assembly
GAGACCACAUCACGUUGAAACACCAGUUCCCGUACGAUCAGCGAAGUUAAGCAACGUCGUGUCUGGUCAGUACUUUGAUGGGUGACUACCAGG